GCACAAAAUGUGUCGCUGAGAUUUAGUUUAACACAGAAUUCUUUUCUUAUACAGAAACUCUCAAUUUGUGCUUUUUUUGUUGUGUUUUAUAGUUCUCCAAGAAGUAAUAAAAAACAAUUCUCAGGAUGUGGGUUACUCAAAAUUACGUAAUCCAUGAUUAAUCUGUACGUGCUAUUUUCUGAUAUACAGGCUGAUUCAGAUAAAAUAAAGUCUGACGAUCUGGCGAUGCAACCAAUAAAACACAUUUCAUUUACGUAUUUGAUUCAAUUUAAAAUAGGAAUUGCAAGUUGAAUCCAAGUUACCAUUUUAUGUCACUCUGACACCAGCACAGAGAACGAUAGUGUCAUUCAGUUCUCGCGAAAUGAUAGAGAAAUUGGAGAAGUCUUUUCGGUGUAGACUCCGAUACAAAAUAUAUGAAAGAAUGAAACAUUAAAGGUAGGUAAACAGUGUAACCGUUCGGGGGUCUGGCCUUGUCAAAAUAUUUAGUUUUGAGGUGAUCGUCUAGAGAUUGCUUGGAGGACCGCUACGUUGUCGUGUAGAUUUGGAGAUUUGUUAUUUCAAGCACUGUGUGUCUGGGAAAAGAAAACGCAAAGAGUUCGACCCAAAAUGUUUAUUCACUAAAUUUACAGUCAUUGGUGAUAGUAUGCAACACGUUAUACAAUUCAGAAGUGAGUAUAGACAACAAGUUAAACACUAUACCUAGGCAACCAGCUAAACGAGUAUUGAAUCUCGGAGAACUGAGCGGGAAAUUUGAAUGCAAAGUUGAUUACUCGGACCCAACCCGGUGAUUCUAGAAAGACGGUUGCAAGAGGGACUCCCAGAGGUUCCGACCACCGCGUGCUCUCCAUUCCCUAACCUUGGUUGGGCCAUUGCACUCACUGGGACUGCCGAGGUCUUUUUCCCUAGUGUGAUGGCAAGUUCCAAAGGGAGACAGAAAGAUAGUUACUACUCAAACAUGCAGCCAAAUUAAGCCUUCGUAAUCAACAGUUUGUUUUAAUUAAGCAAAAGAGCUCUCGUCAAAUUCAACACGUACAUAUCACGUGCACCUAACUAAACUUAAGUAUUUUUACAGUAAGCGAAAGUCUAGUAAAAAUAAAAUAAAUGACAUGAAAGGAUUAAGUUUGCGCCCUGUGGAAAAGAAUAAUUAACGCUCUGUGAAAGAAAAGAUUAAUUAACGUUCUGAAAAAUAAAAGAUUAAUUAACGCUCUGAAAAAGAAAAGAGUUAGAUAAAGAUCCUCCCCUGAGACUUCCAACCGUUGAAGAUGGUGAUCCCGGUGGUGUGAUGAAGAGUUUGUCUCUUUGAGACCUGGAGGUUUCUCUCGAGGUACAUUUCACCGUUUGGCGCUCAACCCGUCGCAGACAAAGAAGCUGCCAUGGUGAAAAACCCCAACUGAAAGUUGAACCAAUCUCAUCUUUUGAAGAGGCGCUCAACCCGUCGGAGACAAAGAAGCUGCCUGAGAUUUACGUUCAACUCCAGGAGACUAUUUCUCAAUCAAUCUUUCCAACCCGUCGGCGGGAAAGAUUGAUCGGCUUCGCGAGUUAGUUGGCUCAACCCGUCGAAGACAAAGAAGCUCAACUACAGCAGUGAGACGAGUGCAAGCGUUGUCUCCGAAAAGACGUACAAACACUGUCUGAUUUUCCUCUUCCAAGCGGCAACUAUUUAUAGGGGUUGCGUGACGUCACUGGAUCUGUGGCCUACGUGACUAACAAGAAAUAUUGUUUAAAGUUGAUAAACAAUGCGUUAAUAUCUUCGAAGGAUUGACAGGAAGUUUGCAAACGUCUCGGGUGAUGUCGAGAUGUGAUAGAAUCGACGUAUUUGUUCCUCAAUCGCCAAUUAAUUAAUAAAAGCGUUUCCACGUGGAAUAAAAAA
This is a long non-coding RNA of Tribolium castaneum (red flour beetle), 1870 nucleotides long. RefSeq lists it as uncharacterized. NCBI's taxonomy places the organism in Eukaryota, Metazoa, Arthropoda, Insecta, Coleoptera, Tenebrionidae. The transcript is spliced from 2 exons. The record is from RefSeq and is a predicted model, not a curated record.